GAUGAACGCUGGCGGCGUGCCUAAUACAUGCAAGUCGAACGGGGAGUAGCAAUACUCUUAGUGGCGAACGGGUGAGUAACGCGUUGGUACCUGCCCCGAAGCGGGGGAUAACGGACCGAAAGGUCCGCUAAUACCCCAUGUGCUCGGUAACGAGUAAAGGUGAAAACCACUUUGGGAGGGGCCUGCGUCCCAUCAGCUAGUUGGUAAGGUAACGGCUUACCAAGGCGAUGACGGGUAGGGGACCUGAGAGGGUGGCCCCCCACAAUGGAACUGAAACACGGUCCAUACACCUACGGGUGGCAGCAGUAGGGAAUAUUGGUAAUGGGCGCAAGCCUGAACCAGCAACGCCGCGUGUGCGAUGACGGCCUUCGGGUUGUAAAGCACUUUUGACUGGGACGAGGAAGGACGGUACCGGUCGAAUCAGCCUCGGCUAACUACGUG
RNAcentral lists this ribosomal RNA (441 nucleotides) under uncultured bacterium. RNAcentral's name for it is "partial 16S ribosomal RNA". It matches the Rfam family "Bacterial small subunit ribosomal RNA", at positions 28 to 507 of the family's 1533-position model. The record is from RNAcentral.